This 1576-nucleotide ribosomal RNA is filed under the name metagenome. RNAcentral describes it as "bacterial LSU rRNA". It matches the Rfam family "Bacterial large subunit ribosomal RNA", at positions 1367 to 2925 of the family's 2925-position model. The record is from RNAcentral.
AAUCGACGCAGGGUUAGUCGGUUCCUAAGGCGAGGCUGAAAAGCGUAGUCGAUGGGAAACAGGUUAAUAUUCCUGUACUUCUGGUUACUGCGAUGGAGGGACGGAGAAGGCUAGGCCAGCUUGGCGUUGGUUGUCCAAGUUUAAGGUGGUAGGCUGAAAUCUUAGGUAAAUCCGGGGUUUCAAGGCCGAGAGCUGAUGACGAGUCGUCUUUUAGAUGACGAAGUGGUUGAUGCCAUGCUUCCAAGAAAAGCUUCUAAGCUUCAGGUAACCAGGAACCGUACCCCAAACCGACACAGGUGGUCGGGUAGAGAAUACCAAGGCGCUUGAGAGAACUCGGGUGAAGGAACUAGGCAAAAUGGCACCGUAACUUCGGGAGAAGGUGCGCCGGCUAGGGUGAAGGAUUUACUCCGUAAGCUCUGGCUGGUCGAAGAUACCAGGCCGCUGCGACUGUUUAUUAAAAACACAGCACUCUGCAAACACGAAAGUGGACGUAUAGGGUGUGACGCCUGCCCGGUGCCGGAAGGUUAAUUGAUGGGGUUAGCGCAAGCGAAGCUCUUGAUCGAAGCCCCGGUAAACGGCGGCCGUAACAAUAACGGUCCUAAGGUAGCGAAAUUCCUUGUCGGGUAAGUUCCGACCUGCACGAAUGGCGUAACGAUGGCGGCGCUGUCUCCACCCGAGACUCAGUGAAAUUGAAAUCGCUGUGAAGAUGCAGUGUAUCCGCGGCUAGACGGAAAGACCCCGUGAACCUUUACUGUAGCUUUGCACUGGACUUUGAGCCUGCUUGUGUAGGAUAGGUGGGAGGCUUUGAAGCGUGGACGCCAGUUCGCGUGGAGCCAUCCUUGAAAUACCACCCUGGCAUGCUUGAGGUUCUAACUCUGGUCCGUAAUCCGGAUCGAGGACAGUGUAUGGUGGGCAGUUUGACUGGGGCGGUCUCCUCCUAAAGAGUAACGGAGGAGUACGAAGGUGCGCUCAGACCGGUCGGAAAUCGGUCGCAGAGUAUAAAGGCAAAAGCGCGCUUGACUGCGAGACAGACACGUCGAGCAGGUACGAAAGUAGGUCUUAGUGAUCCGGUGGUUCUGUAUGGAAGGGCCAUCGCUCAACGGAUAAAAGGUACUCCGGGGAUAACAGGCUGAUACCGCCCAAGAGUUCAUAUCGACGGCGGUGUUUGGCACCUCGAUGUCGGCUCAUCACAUCCUGGGGCUGAAGCCGGUCCCAAGGGUAUGGCUGUUCGCCAUUUAAAGUGGUACGCGAGCUGGGUUUAGAACGUCGUGAGACAGUUCGGUCCCUAUCUGCCGUGGACGUUUGAGAUUUGAGAGGGGCUGCUCCUAGUACGAGAGGACCGGAGUGGACGAACCUCUGGUGUUCCGGUUGUCACGCCAGUGGCAUUGCCGGGUAGCUAUGUUCGGAAAAGAUAACCGCUGAAAGCAUCUAAGCGGGAAACUUGCCUCAAGAUGAGAUCUCACUGGGAACUUGAUUCCCCUGAAGGGCCGUCGAAGACUACGACGUUGAUAGGCUGGGUGUGUAAGCGUUGUGAGGCGUUGAGCUAACCAGUACUAAUUGCCCGUGAGGCUUGAUC